Molecule: transfer RNA, 87 nt
Filed under: Eubacteriales Family XIII. Incertae Sedis bacterium
Lineage: Bacteria; Bacillati; Bacillota; Clostridia; Peptostreptococcales; Anaerovoracaceae
Description: tRNA-Leu
Rfam family: tRNA
About the family: Transfer RNA (tRNA) molecules are approximately 80 nucleotides in length.
Source: RNAcentral
GCCGGAGUGGCGGAACAGGCAGACGCCCCGGACUUAAAAUCCGGUGAUCGCGAGAUCGUACCGGUUCGACCCCGGUCUCCGGUACCA